RNAcentral lists this small RNA (681 nucleotides) under Xanthomonas axonopodis. RNAcentral's name for it is "bacterial LSU rRNA". The stretch from base 234 to 681 matches the Rfam family "Bacterial large subunit ribosomal RNA", at positions 1 to 502 of the family's 2925-position model. Lineage: Bacteria; Pseudomonadati; Pseudomonadota; Gammaproteobacteria; Lysobacterales; Lysobacteraceae. The record is from RNAcentral.
CCACCACUCUGAAUGUAGUGCACACUUAAGAAUUUAUAUGGAUCAGCGUUGAGGCUGAGACAUGUUCUUUUAUAACUUGUGACGUAGCGAGCGUUUGAGAUAUCUAUCUAAACGUGUCGUUGAGGCUAAGGCGGGGACUUCGAGUCCCUAAAUAAUUGAGUCGUAUGUUCGCGUUGGUGGCUUUGUACCCCACACAACACGACAGAUAGCUCCGAGGCAACUUGGGGUUAUAUGGUCAAGCGAAUAAGCGCACACGGUGGAUGCCUAGGCGGUCAGAGGCGAUGAAGGACGUGGUAGCCUGCGAAAAGUGUCGGGGAGCUGGCAACAAGCUUUGAUCCGGCAAUAUCCGAAUGGGGAAACCCACUGCUUCGGCAGUAUCCUGCAGUGAAUUCAUAGCUGCUGGAAGCGAACCCGGUGAACUGAAAUAUCUAAGUAACCGGAGGAAAAGAAAUCAACCGAGAUUCCCUAAGUAGUGACGAGCGAACGGGGAGCAGCCCUUAAGCUGGAAUGGCUUUAGAAAAACAAUCUGGAAAGAUUGGCCAUAGAAGGUGAUAGCCCUGUAUUUAAAAGGGCCACUCCAGUGAAGACGAGUAGGGCGGGGCACGUGAAACCCUGUCUGAAUAUGGGGGGACCAUCCUCCAAGGCUAAAUACUCCUGACCGACCGAUAGUGAACCAGUACC